UAGGGAAUCUUCCACAAUGGGCGCAAGCCUGAUGGAGCAACGCCGCGUGAGUGAAGAAGGUCUUCGGAUCGUAAAACUCUGUUGUUAGAGAAGAACAUGCAGGAGAGUAACUGUUCUUGUAUUGACGGUAUCUAACCAGAAAGCCACGGCUAACUACGUGCCAGCAGCCGCGGUAAUACGUAGGUGGCAAGCGUUGUCCGGAUUUAUUGGGCGUAAAGGGAACGCAGGCGGUCCUUUAAGUCUGAUGUGAAAGCCUUCGGCUUAACCGAAGAAUUGCAUUGGAAACUGGAGGACUUGAGUGCAGAAGAGGAGAGUGGAACUCCAUGUGUAGCGGUGAAAUGCGUAGAUAUAUGGAAGAACACCAGUGGCGAAAGCGGCUCUCUGGUCUGUAACUGACGCUGAGGUUCGAAAGUGUGG
RNAcentral lists this ribosomal RNA (417 nucleotides) under uncultured bacterium. RNAcentral's name for it is "bacterial SSU rRNA". It matches the Rfam family "Bacterial small subunit ribosomal RNA", at positions 355 to 764 of the family's 1533-position model. The record is from RNAcentral.